This 522-nucleotide ribosomal RNA is filed under the name Iaria sp. BFS-2018. RNAcentral's name for it is "partial 16S large subunit ribosomal RNA". The stretch from base 392 to 522 matches the Rfam family "Archaeal large subunit ribosomal RNA", at positions 2544 to 2674 of the family's 2987-position model. The record is from RNAcentral. Lineage: Eukaryota; Metazoa; Arthropoda; Insecta; Hymenoptera; Ichneumonidae.
CAUGUCUUUUUGAUGAUAAUUUAAAGUCUAAUCUGCUCCAUGAAAAUUUUAAAUAGCUGCAGGAAUUUUACUGUACAAAGGUAGCAUAAUCAAUAGUUUUUUAAUUGAAAGCUGGAAUGAAGGAUUUGAUAAGGUAAAUAUUGUCUCAAAUUUAAUAAAAUUAUAAUUUUUUUUUAUGUAAAAAAACAUAAUUAAUUUUAAAAGACGAGAAGACCCUAUAGAUUUUUAUAUAAUAAAUAUAUUAAAAAUAUUAAAAAAAAUUAUAAUUUUUAAUAAAGUUUUAUAUUUAGUUGGGGAAAUUAUUAAAUUAAUAAAAUUUUAAUAAAAUAUAAACAAUGAUGAUUGAUUUUAUGAUCUUAAAUUUUAGAUUAAUAGAAUAAAAUACCUUAGGGAUAACAGCGUAAUUUUUUUUGAGAGAUCUUAUUAAUAAAAGAGUUUGCGACCUCGAUGUUGAAUUAAGAUAAAAUUUUAAUGCAGGAGUUAAAAAUUUUUGGUCUGUUCGACCAUUAAAAUCUUACGUGA